GAAUAUUGGACAAUGGGGGCAACCCUGAUCCAGCCAUGCCGCGUGUGUGAAGAAGGCCUUCGGGUUGUAAAGCACUUUCAGUGAGGAGGAAGGGGUGUCGGUUAAUACCCGACAUCAUUGACGUUACUCACAGAAGAAGCACCGGCUACCUCCGUGCCAGCAGCCGCGGUAAGACGGAGGGUGCAAGCGUUAAUCGGAAUUACUGGGCGUAAAGCGCGCGUAGGUGGUUUGAUAAGCGAGAUGUGAAAGCCCCGGGCUUAACCUGGGAACGGCAUUUCGAACUGUCAGGCUAGAGUAUGGUAGAGGAGUGUGGAAUUUCCUGUGUAGCGGUGAAAUGCGUAGAUAUAGGAAGGAACACCAGUGGCGAAGGCGGCACUCUGGACCAAUACUGACACUGAGGUGCGAAAGCGUGGGGAGCAAACAGG
RNAcentral lists this ribosomal RNA (425 nucleotides) under uncultured bacterium. RNAcentral's name for it is "bacterial SSU rRNA". It matches the Rfam family "Bacterial small subunit ribosomal RNA", at positions 359 to 776 of the family's 1533-position model. The record is from RNAcentral.